This 312-nucleotide RNase P RNA is filed under the name Rasiella rasia. Its description in RNAcentral is "Bacterial RNase P class A". It matches the Rfam family "Bacterial RNase P class A". From Rfam's summary of the family: Ribonuclease P (RNase P) is a ubiquitous endoribonuclease, found in archaea, bacteria and eukarya as well as chloroplasts and mitochondria. Its best characterised activity is the generation of mature 5'-ends of tRNAs by cleaving the 5'-leader elements of precursor-tRNAs. Lineage: Bacteria; Pseudomonadati; Bacteroidota; Flavobacteriia; Flavobacteriales; Flavobacteriaceae. The record is from Rfam by way of RNAcentral.
GCAGCAGGCCGUCUUAUCGCUCUAAAGCAAUUUGGAGAGGAAAGUCCGGACACCAUAGGGAAGCAUAACGGUUAACGGCCGUCGUUCGCCUCAGGCGAAUAGGACUAGUGCAACAGAAAGAAUGUACAGGUAAUGCUGUAGUGAAACCAGGUAAACUCUAUGCGGUGAAAUGCCACGUAAACCAGCGUUAAGGGUUCCCGCCCGAUGCUGGAGGGUAGGCAGCUAGAGCGUUGCAGUAAUGUAACGUCCAGAUAAAUGAUAAGGGUUCGUCUUAGAUGAAUACAGAAUCCGGCUUAUAGGCCUGCUUUUUUU